This 129-nucleotide ribosomal RNA is filed under the name Triticum aestivum (bread wheat). RNAcentral's name for it is "partial small subunit ribosomal RNA". Lineage: Eukaryota; Viridiplantae; Streptophyta; Magnoliopsida; Poales; Poaceae. The record is from RNAcentral.
AUGGAAAUUUGGUUAUGGAGAACCUUGAAGCUCGCCCUCCUAGGGCUGGCCUCGCUCGAGCGAACUAUCGAACGACAGAGAUCACGUAUUAGAUGGCUGAAAGAAGGGGACGCGAAUACGAAACUUUUU